RNAcentral lists this transfer RNA (70 nucleotides) under Balta curvirostris. RNAcentral's name for it is "tRNA-Ser". Lineage: Eukaryota; Metazoa; Arthropoda; Insecta; Blattodea; Pseudophyllodromiidae. The record is from RNAcentral.
AGUUAAAAACUUUAAGAAAGUUACAUGUUUUGAAAACAUGUAUAAAGGAGUUUAAAUCUUCUAUUAACUU